This 28-nucleotide ribosomal RNA is filed under the name Fusarium proliferatum. RNAcentral's name for it is "partial 28S ribosomal RNA". The record is from RNAcentral. Lineage: Eukaryota; Fungi; Ascomycota; Sordariomycetes; Hypocreales; Nectriaceae.
UGACCUCGGAUCAGGUAGAUUCCCGCCG